This 85-nucleotide transfer RNA is filed under the name Felis catus (domestic cat). It matches the Rfam family "tRNA". Rfam says of the family: Transfer RNA (tRNA) molecules are approximately 80 nucleotides in length. Their secondary structure includes four short double-helical elements and three loops (D, anti-codon, and T loops). Further hydrogen bonds mediate the characteristic L-shaped molecular structure. tRNAs have two regions of fundamental functional importance: the anti-codon, which is responsible for specific mRNA codon recognition, and the 3' end, to which the tRNAs corresponding amino acid is attached (by aminoacyl-tRNA synthetases). tRNAs cope with the degeneracy of the genetic code in two manners: having more than one tRNA (with a specific anti-codon) for a particular amino acid; and 'wobble' base-pairing, i.e. permitting non-standard base-pairing at the 3rd anti-codon position. The record is from Rfam by way of RNAcentral. Lineage: Eukaryota; Metazoa; Chordata; Mammalia; Carnivora; Felidae. RNAcentral also lists the same sequence under 2 other names.
GCCUGGGUAGCUCAGUCGGUUAAGCAUCUGACUUCAGCUCAGGUCAUGAUCUCAUGGUUUGUGGGUUUGAGCCCCAUGUCCGGCU